Molecule: ribosomal RNA, 659 nt
Filed under: uncultured bacterium
Lineage: Bacteria
Description: bacterial SSU rRNA
Rfam family: Bacterial small subunit ribosomal RNA
Source: RNAcentral
CUACCAUGCAGUCGAGGGGUAUAGUAGCAAUACUAGAGACCGGCGCACGGGUGCGUAACGCGUAUGCAACCUACCUUUUACAGGGGAAUAGCCCAGAGAAAUUUGGAUUAAUGCCCCAUGGUAUAUGUAAUUCGCAUGUUUUACAUAUUAAAGUUCCAACGGUAAAAGAUGGGCAUGCGUCCUAUUAGCUAGAUGGUAAGGUAACGGCUUACCAUGGCUACGAUAGGUAGGGGUCCUGAGAGGGAGAUCCCCCACACUGGUACUGAGACACGGACCAGACUCCUACGGGAGGCAGCAGUGAGGAAUAUUGGACAAUGGGCGCAAGCCUGAUCCAGCCAUGCCGCGUGCAGGAAGACGCAUCUAUGGUGUGUAAACUGCUUUUGUACGGGAAGAAACACCCCCUCGUGAGGGGGCUUGACGGUACCGUAAGAAUAAGGAUCGGCUAACUCCGUGCCAGCAGCCGCGGUAAUACGGAAGAUCCAAGCGUUAUCCGGAAUCAUUGGGUUUAAAGGGUCCGUAGGCGGUUUAAUAAGUCAGUGGUGAAAUCUGGUCGCUCAACGAUCAAACGGCCAUUGAUACUGUUAGACUUGAAUUAUUGUGAAGUAACUAGAAUAUGUAGUGUAGCGGUGAAAUGCUUAAAUAUUACAUGGAAUACCAAU